CCUACGGGUGGCAGCAGUGAGGAAUCUUGGUCAAUGGCCGGAAGGCUGAACCAGCCAUGCCGCGUGAAGGUCAGUGCCCUAUGGGCGUUAAACUUCUUUUGUGCGGGAGCAAUAAUGGUCACGUGUGGCCAGACGAGAGUACCGUACGAAUAAGCAUCGGCUAACUCCGUGCCAGCAGCCGCGGUAAUACGGGGGAUGCAAGCGUUAUCCGGAUUUAUUGGGUUGAAAGGGUGCGUAGGCUGGGAGGUAAGUCAGCGGUGAAAUGCCCCCGCUCAACGGGGUGAAGUGCCAUUGAUACUGCCUGGCUGGAAUGCGGAUGCGGUGGGAGGAAUGUGUGGUGUAGCGGUGAAAUGCAUAGAUAUCACACAGAACACCAAUUGCGAAGGCAUCUCACGAAUCCGCGAUUGACGCUGAUGCACGAAAGCGUGGGUAUCAAACGGGAUUAGAUACCCUUGUAGUC
This 460-nucleotide ribosomal RNA is filed under the name uncultured bacterium. RNAcentral describes it as "partial 16S ribosomal RNA". It matches the Rfam family "Bacterial small subunit ribosomal RNA", at positions 338 to 795 of the family's 1533-position model. The record is from RNAcentral.